RNAcentral lists this ribosomal RNA (493 nucleotides) under uncultured bacterium. RNAcentral describes it as "bacterial SSU rRNA". It matches the Rfam family "Bacterial small subunit ribosomal RNA", at positions 8 to 518 of the family's 1533-position model. The record is from RNAcentral.
AGAGUUUGAUUAUGGCUCAGGAUGAACGCUGACAGAAUGCUUAACACAUGCAAGUCUACUUGAAGCACUUUCGGGUGUGGAUGGUGGCGGACGGGUGAGUAACGCGUAAAUAACUUGCCCCUUAGUCUGGGACAACUGUUGGAAACGACAGCUAAUACUAGAUAUUAUGACAUCUUGGCAUCAAGAAGUUAUGAAAGCUAUAUGCGCUAAGGGAGAGAUUUGCGUCCUAUUAGCUAGUUGGUGAGGUAAUGGCUCACCAAGGCGACGAUAGGUAGCCGGCCUGAGAGGGUGAACGGCCACAAGGGGACUGAGACACGGCCCUUACUCCUACGGGAGGCAGCAGUGGGGAAUAUUGGACAAUGGACCAAAAGUCUGAUCCAGCAAUUCCGUGUGCUUGAUGAAGGCCUUCGGGUUGUAAAGAGCUUUAAGUAGGGAAGAAGAAAGUGACGGUACCUACAGAAUAAGCGACGGCUAAAUACGUGCCAGCCGCGGC